GCAAUUAUUUUCCUUUCUGGUUUUGUGCUUCUUUCUCAUUUCCUCUGAUUUUCUGUGUUUUGAGUAACGACGAUGGAGAGGUCACCGACAACUUCAGGUCGCAGCAAACGUGAAAGCCCUUCACUUGUAGAACAGACCCAUCGUAGGAAGAGGCGAAGAAUAGUCACUGUAGAAUCUGAAAUCCAUGUUCAUGAGAAUAGAUAUGAAAUCUCAAGUUCAAGCAGCAGACGUUGGGGUUCCUCGUCUCACUGUAACGAUGAGAGGCAGAGGAGGAGAAGUAAAACGGAAUUUGUAGACAGUUAUCGCAAAUGGGUUUUCUCUCCACAUGAUUGCUCCCGUUACAAAGACAGGGUUGUCAUUGUCUCGUAUAAUAUCUUAGGUGUUGAAAAUGCAUUGAAGCAUCCGUAUUUAUAUCAUCAAGUCCGACCCCAAUUUUUAAAUUGGGACUGGAGGAAAAAGCUCAUCCGCAAGGAGCUUAAUCAUUACAAACCUGACAUUUUAUGUUUUCAGGAGGUCGACCAUUUUAGUGAUUUAGCUGAUCUUCUACAAAAGGAUGGUUUCAAAGGUGUUUAUAAGGUUCGCACAGGAAAAGCAAAUGAUGGGUGUGCUGUAUUCUGGAAAGAAGAACUAUUUACACUUCUGCAUCAAGAGAGCAUAGAAUUCCAGAAGUUUAGCCUUAGUGACAAUGUUGCCCAGCUUUGUGUUUUAAAGAUGGUUAACAGUCAUUCAGAUUCAAAUCGAUGUGCUAAUUCUCAAAUUCCACAGAGUACACCUUCUCGGAGUAUACUUGUUGUAAAUAUACAUGUACUAUACAAUCCAAAGCGUGGAGAUAUCAAGCUGGGCCAGGUGAGGUUGCUACUUGAGAGAGCACAUGCUAUAUCACAAGAAUGGGGCAACAUCCCUGUUGUUAUUGCCGGGGAUCUAAAUAGUAUGCCACAGAGUCCGAUAUAUCAGUUUCUUGCUUCAUCUUCGUUGGAUAUCCUACUACAUGACCGCCGAAAAAUUUCUGGCCAGAUUGAACACGAAAGAGGAUCAAGACCUUUAACAGCUCAGCUUGAGGAUGCACACAGGCUGUUGGCGUAUAGAUGGAGUGAAGAAGAAUUACGGCUUGCUGCUGGCUGUGAUGGAGUUACUCAACUUCAACACCAUUUAAAACUUAGCAGUGCAUAUACAGGAAUUCCUGGAAGCUAUCACACUAGGGAUAAUUGUGGAGAACCUUUAGCAACAUCAUAUCACUCCAAGUUUAUGGGAACUGUGGAUUAUAUUUGGCAUUCUCAGGGACUUCUUCCUGUAGGAGUUGUGGAAACCUUACCAGUUAAUAUUUUGAGAGAAACAAGAGGCCUUCCAAGCGAGAAGUGGGGCAGCGAUCAUCUUGCUCUGGUAUGUGAACUGGCUUUUGUGGACGACAGCAGAGUGACUUGACUUGCAACUCUAUGCAAGUCACCUACAGGCACGGACACAUCUAACAAUUUUGGGCAGCUUGGAGCUCCCAAUGGUCCCGCAACAUUUAGGCAUGUCUGGACAACAAAUUUCAGUGCUCACAUCUGUCAAUUGAAGUAUCAGAGCCAAAUUCACUGUCUUAAGAGUCUAGACUCUCUACUCCUUGGUAGAUAUUCAGCUACAAAGUCUCAGGACCCGGCAAUUACUUUGCCAGCUGAACAAAGUUCACUGAAGUUUUGAACUUGUAUUCUGGAGCCACAUUUUUGUUAGACCAAUUUUUUAUC
This is an RNA transcript of Telopea speciosissima, 1724 nucleotides long. It is a transcript of the gene named carbon catabolite repressor protein 4 homolog 5, with no coding region annotated. Lineage: Eukaryota; Viridiplantae; Streptophyta; Magnoliopsida; Proteales; Proteaceae. The record is from RefSeq and is a predicted model, not a curated record. The transcript is spliced from 15 exons.